AUUCGGACAGGCCUUGAUGGCUUCCUAACCAUGAAGGCAGCAUAGCUCAGGAUUCAGUCACAGCCUGGGUGUACACUGUCAUCGAGAAAGUGACAACCACUGAUCCCUAGAAAAUCAGUGUAAUCUCUCAAGUAAACUUGUUUGUUUUGUGCUAAAUGUUAUUUUGACAGCCAUAGCUAAGGGCUCUUACUCGCUUUAUUCCCGGGACAUAUCUUUCCGACUUGGGACCACCGCUUCUUAGGCACUUCUCUCAUUCAGAACAGUGAAGUCAAUGGAUCCUUACAUCCCAGCUUGACAAGUUAGGAGGAUACAAGCUAAUCCCCUUAAUCUGUCUAUUCUCCCGUGCAGUGCCAAAGGGGGAGAGGGAAAAUGUGCCUUUCAUUAACUGCUGGUGGGAUUCCUUUAGGACAGAUGCUGGAGGUCCACAUGAAAGGCAUGUAUUCUUCGCUUCCAGCACACAGGUCCUGGGGCUUCUCCCACAGCAGAGGCUGAGAGGUGGGGACACGCCAUUGGCCUGGGCGACCACUCCACCCCUUUACCCUCUGUCAACCUCUUUAUAAUUCAAACACUAAUGCUUUUAAAAAGUGUUUGACAGAUGGAUCAGAUUCCUUUGCUUACUGAGGAUAGAUGUAGCAGAUCAAUGAGACAAAUGAUGAGGACAAUGUGAGAUAUGCUGCCUGUUCUUUUCAUUUGUAUGCGGCCAUGCAACCUGUUUUUUUUUCUGUUACAUUUAAUAAGAUGAAUGUCUUUUGUACAGUUGCUAUUCUUUGAUACACUUUUGCAGUGGAUACAUAUAAACCUAUGGAAAAUCAGUGUUUAUAUAGAUAUAUAGCCUAUUACCAU
Long non-coding RNA from Carassius auratus (goldfish), 843 nucleotides. RefSeq lists it as uncharacterized. The transcript has 3 exons. NCBI's taxonomy places the organism in Eukaryota, Metazoa, Chordata, Actinopteri, Cypriniformes, Cyprinidae. The record is from RefSeq and is a predicted model, not a curated record.